Gossypium raimondii (Peruvian cotton) is the source of this 89-nucleotide non-coding RNA. Lineage: Eukaryota; Viridiplantae; Streptophyta; Magnoliopsida; Malvales; Malvaceae. The record is from Rfam.
GAGCUGUGAUGAUUUUCGCGCUCUUUCGAAGAUGAGGGUUCUUCGAAAUUAGCUGAUCUUCAGACGAUAAUAGCAGCGCUUCUGAGCUU